AUGGCUUCUUGGCCUUUAGGCUAAGAUCAAGUGUAUUAUCUGUUCUUAUCAGUUUAAAAUGACUGCCAAAUUUUUGUCUGUUCCAUGCUUUUUUAAGCAUGGAACACAACAUUUUUAAGUUUUUUGUUUUUAAGGCAAAAACAUCA
This is a small nuclear RNA of Delphinapterus leucas (beluga whale), 146 nucleotides long. Its record names the gene U2. It matches the Rfam family "U2 spliceosomal RNA". Rfam says of the family: U2 is a small nuclear RNA (snRNA) component of the spliceosome (involved in pre-mRNA splicing). Complementary binding between U2 snRNA (in an area lying towards the 5' end but 3' to hairpin I) and the branchpoint sequence (BPS) of the intron results the bulging out of an unpaired adenosine, on the BPS, which initiates a nucleophilic attack at the intronic 5' splice site, thus starting the first of two transesterification reactions that mediate splicing. Lineage: Eukaryota; Metazoa; Chordata; Mammalia; Artiodactyla; Monodontidae. The record is from Ensembl.